CUGGCAUGUCACAAUUCCAAUUGCCUCCAAAAAAGAAAUGAAACUGGGGAAGGAAAUGGCAAACCACUCCAGUAUCUUUGCUCAGAAAACCCCAAAUGUCAUGGAGAGUUGGACAUAACUGAAAUGACUGCACAGCAAGAAGGAAACAGAGAUUAAGUGGGUGUUUAUUUGGGCUGGGUAAGUGGAGAACUUCCCUGAUAAAUGAUGGGCUGUGAUGUAGUGGGUCUGAGAGUAGCAAUAGGUUCUAGAGUAGAGUUCAAGCCAAAAAUAUGACCUCUCUUCUCUGUCAAAAAAUGCUGUCAGACUAACUAGAGUUAGUACUUUAUUCCCUUCCAGUUCUACUGAAUCCAUGAUUUCCAAUGAUUUCUCUUAUUUGGUGAUUCUUGACCCAGGGUGCUUGAAACUAGAUUUGACAAAUAUUUUGAUAACUGCCUUUCUGUCUAACUGGUUUCCUUGUAAUUCUAUAUAUUUCAGAUUCAUGCCUACAAAAACAUGAUGCUGAGAUGGGGUCAGAGACUUCACUAGACUCACUGUGCAAGGGGGCCAGGACACAGAAAAGCUUCUGCUCUAAUUGCCCAAUCAGCCAAGGCCAAAAAGGUCUAAAACUCCAACUUAAGUCAGAUCAGGGAUCCCAGAAACCUAGUUUGAAGAUUUAAAGCGGCAGUUCAGGUGCCCCUGGAGAUGACAGUUGCUUGGUUGUGGGAUAGCUCAGCUGUGGCAAUGUGAGUGCAUGCUGAUAUUCCCAACUGAUUCCUCUCUGGCUUUUGCAGUGGGGAUGUGCUCCAUCCCAGUGAUGAUGGCAUCCAUGGGAGUUUGGGGGUUCUGUUUCCAUGGCAACAAUCCAUAGGAGGUUUUCCCUGCUGAUCCAGAAAGACAGCUUUCUGCAGGGCUGUUCUUUGCCUCGGGUUCCCGUGUGGGUAUGUUACUUCCUCCUUGAAUCAUCUUUGUUUCACUAAUAAUGAUAAUUGGCAAUAAAAGCAGAA
This 983-nucleotide long non-coding RNA is filed under the name Sarcophilus harrisii (Tasmanian devil). RNAcentral's name for it is "lncRNA (ENSSHAG00000025019.1)". Lineage: Eukaryota; Metazoa; Chordata; Mammalia; Dasyuromorphia; Dasyuridae. The record is from RNAcentral.